This 93-nucleotide transfer RNA is filed under the name Armillaria borealis. RNAcentral's name for it is "tRNA-Thr". Lineage: Eukaryota; Fungi; Basidiomycota; Agaricomycetes; Agaricales; Physalacriaceae. The record is from RNAcentral.
UCCCUCUUGGCUCGGUUGGUAGAGCGCGUCACUAGUAUUAUGCUAUUUGCCAUUUUCACGACGAGGUCAGUCGUUCAAGUCGACUAGAGGGAA